GUAAGUUCACGUUAACACAGUCAUAGACAUGGAGUUUAAAGUUAUAGGGAAAAGUAUAGGAAAAAAAUGUAUAUAUCAUGAUGGAUUUUUAUAUCGUUUUGAUCAAACCCUCAAAAGUGUAGACCUUUCAUGGAGAUGUUCCUUGAAAAAUUGUAAUGCUAGAAUUAAAACGGACUAUGGGACUACUAAUAGUUUGAGUCAUAAAAGAUGUUGGUGAAGAUUCUUUCCAUCCUAAGGAUUUACAGUCUCAUUCUGCAUGUAUCAAAGGUUAUGUACAGAGUAAGAAGAAAAUCUCAACCGAAUUUGCCGAAGUCAAGAGAAGAUUUUCACACUCUUUUUGAAGGUUAU
Molecule: long non-coding RNA, 348 nt
Filed under: Mytilus galloprovincialis (Mediterranean mussel)
Lineage: Eukaryota; Metazoa; Mollusca; Bivalvia; Mytilida; Mytilidae
Source: RNAcentral